UACGUAGGGGGCAAGCGUUGUCCGGAAUUACUGGGCGUAAAGCGUGCGCAGGCGGUUUCGUAAGACAGAGGUGAAAUCCCCGGGCUCAACCUGGGAACUGCCUUUGUGACUGCGAAGCUAGAGUACGGCAGAGGGGGGUGGAAUUCCACGUGUAGCAGUGAAAUGCGUAGAGAUGUGGAGGAACACCAAUGGCGAAGGCAGCCCCCUGGGUCGAUACUGACGCUCAUGCACGAAAGCGUGGGUAGCAAACAGGAUUAGAUACCCUAGUAGU
This 271-nucleotide ribosomal RNA is filed under the name uncultured bacterium. RNAcentral's name for it is "partial 16S ribosomal RNA". It matches the Rfam family "Bacterial small subunit ribosomal RNA", at positions 524 to 794 of the family's 1533-position model. The record is from RNAcentral.